CAGCACCUCAAGUGGUCAGGAUGAUUAUUGGGCCUGAAGCAUCCGUAGCCGGCUCUGUAAGUUUUCGGUUAAAUCUGUAUGCUCAACAUACAGGCUGCCGGGAAUACUGCAGAGCUAGGGAGUGGGAGAGGUAGACGGUACUCGGUAGGAAGGGGUAAAAUCCUUUGAUCUAUUGAUGACCACCUGUGGCGAAGGCGGUCUACCAGAACACGUCCGACGGUGAGGGAUGAAAGCUGGGGGAGCAAACCGGAUUAGAUACCCGAGUAGUCC
RNAcentral lists this ribosomal RNA (270 nucleotides) under uncultured archaeon. Its description in RNAcentral is "partial 16S ribosomal RNA". It matches the Rfam family "Archaeal small subunit ribosomal RNA", at positions 477 to 747 of the family's 1478-position model. The record is from RNAcentral.